This 82-nucleotide transfer RNA is filed under the name Lentzea pudingi. RNAcentral's name for it is "tRNA-Arg". Lineage: Bacteria; Bacillati; Actinomycetota; Actinomycetes; Pseudonocardiales; Pseudonocardiaceae. The record is from RNAcentral.
ACACGGUGCAGCCAGGUGACGGGCGCGCCGUCUCCUGCGCGGCGGAACGGUUCGAGGGCGUCGUCCCAGGCGGCGCCGAGCA